This 253-nucleotide ribosomal RNA is filed under the name uncultured bacterium. RNAcentral describes it as "partial 16S ribosomal RNA". It matches the Rfam family "Bacterial small subunit ribosomal RNA", at positions 524 to 776 of the family's 1533-position model. The record is from RNAcentral.
UACGAAGGACCCGAGCGUUAUCCGGAUUUAUUGGGUUUAAAGGGUGCGUAGGCGGACUUUCAAGUCAGUGGUGAAAGCCCAUCGCUCAACGAUGGAAUUGCCAUUGAAACUGUUGGUCUUGAGUACGGUUGAAGUGGGCGGAAUGUGUCAUGUAGCGGUGAAAUGCUUAGAUAUGACACAGAACACCUAUUGCGAAGGCAGCUCGCUAAGCCGUAACUGACGCUGAGGCACGAAAGUGUGGGUAGCAAACAGG